Non-coding RNA from Acanthosepion pharaonis, 113 nucleotides. NCBI's taxonomy places the organism in Eukaryota, Metazoa, Mollusca, Cephalopoda, Sepiida, Sepiidae. The record is from the annotation of a GenBank genome assembly.
UUAUGGCCAUAUCAUGUUGAAACACUCAUUCCCAUAUGAUCACCAAGGUUAAGCAAUGUCGAGCCUGAUCAGUACCUGGAUGGGUGACCGUUUGGGAAUGCCAGGUGUAGUAU